This 612-nucleotide ribosomal RNA is filed under the name uncultured archaeon. RNAcentral describes it as "bacterial SSU rRNA". It matches the Rfam family "Archaeal small subunit ribosomal RNA", at positions 553 to 1164 of the family's 1478-position model. The record is from RNAcentral.
AUACGCUCACGUAUGGGCCGCCGGAAAUACUGCAAAGCUAGGGAGUGGGAGAGGUAGACGGUACUCGGGAGGAAGGGGUAAAAUCCUUUGAUCUCUCGAUGACCACCUGUGGCGAAGGCGGUCUACCAGAACACGUCCGACGGUGAGGGAUGAAAGCUGGGGGAGCAAACCGGAUUAGAUACCCGGGUAGUCCCAGCUGUAAACUAUGCAAACUCAGUGAUGCAUUGGCUUGAUGCCAAUGCAGUGUUGCAGGGAAGCCGUUAAGUUUGCCGCCUGGGAAGUACGUACGCAAGUAUGAAACUUAAAGGAAUUGGCGGGGGAGCACCACAAGGGGUGAAGCCUGCGGUUCAAUUGGAGUCAACGCCAGAAAUCUUACCCGGAGAGACAGCAGAAUGAAGGUCAAGCUGAAGACUUUACCAGACAAGCUGAGAGGUGGUGCAUGGCCGUCGCCAGCUCGUGCCGUGAGAUGUCCUGUUAAGUCAGGUAACGAGCGAGAUCCUUGCCUCUAGUUGCCACCAUUACUCUCAGGAGUAGUGGGGCGAAUUAGCGGGACCGCCGUAGUUAAUACGGAGGAAGGAAGGGGCCACGGCAGGUCAGUAUGCCCCGAAAAUC